GUGAGCCUGGGGUGUUUGUUGCUUUAUUGAAUAGAACCACCAAUGUUUGAAAGGGAGCUCGCGUUCUUGUGUCUAUGUCAGGCCUCCUUGUUAGAGGAAGACAAAAGCAUUGGACAGAUCACCCACCUGGGUAAGGUGUGGUAUCUUAUUCUCGGCAACGGCAUUCCGGGUUUUGU
Molecule: non-coding RNA, 176 nt
Filed under: Bacillota bacterium
Lineage: Bacteria; Bacillati; Bacillota
Description: 6S RNA
Rfam family: 6S / SsrS RNA
About the family: E. coli 6S RNA was the first non coding RNA to be sequenced, but its function was unknown until recently.
Source: RNAcentral